AUCAGCUGUUGCCUCUCUCUUU
This 22-nucleotide microRNA is filed under the name Eptesicus fuscus (big brown bat). RNAcentral describes it as "efu-miR-9201a". Lineage: Eukaryota; Metazoa; Chordata; Mammalia; Chiroptera; Vespertilionidae. The record is from miRBase by way of RNAcentral.